AUGCAUUUUGAAGACCAUGAGUUCGAGGUGGACGAGGAGGGUGAGGGCAUUGUCGACGCACCGAAAGGAAGAGCGGGCAAUUACACCAACACCGAUGAGAUCUUACUAUGCAAUACUUGGUUGCAAGUGUCGAGGGAUCCAUCCGUUGGAGGCGAUCAAAGUAGAGAUGCUUAUUGGAACCGGAUGAAGGAACACUUUGAUGCUCGCAACGUGAGUGGAAUUGACCGCUCCAACCGAUCACUUAGGUCCCGGUGGUCGACAAUCAACUCGGAUUGUCAAAAGUGGGUGGCUUGUCAAAAGGCGGUUCACAAGUUGAACCCAAGUGGCACAAAUGAGGACGAUAGAAAGAGGAGAGGAAACCAAGAAGGGGAAGAUCAAGAAAGGAAGGGUCUUUACUUUGCCUCGUUGCUAUGA
Molecule: ribosomal RNA, 414 nt
Filed under: Triticum aestivum (bread wheat)
Lineage: Eukaryota; Viridiplantae; Streptophyta; Magnoliopsida; Poales; Poaceae
Description: partial small subunit ribosomal RNA
Source: RNAcentral